GUAUAGGACUAGGAAAAUUUGGAAAUGUAACAUUUUAUGGUUCUCUAUAAAAAGUAACUAUGGGCUUUAAAAGCUAAGGCGAAUGAGGUCCAAUAAGGAAAGCUUGUCCCAAGACUUGUUGGAGAAGCCUUUGCAUAACAGUAUUAAGUGGCUGUGGCGCUUCUUUCAAUUCAUUUUCACAAUUUCGCCAUUUCCCUCCACUCAGAAAAAUCUCCUUUUGCUCCCUCUCGCUUUCUCCGGUGCUAUCGAGAGCGAUGACGACAAUGGAGCAGCGUAGAAACCAAAACACUGUUCAGCAACAAGACGAUGAAGAGACCCAGCACGGCCCUUUCCCCGUCGAACAGCUUCAGGCGGCAGGUAUGGCUUCUGUUGAUGUGAAGAAGCUUGGGGACGCUCGUCUCUGGCACUGUUGAAGGUGUUGCAUAUACUCCGAGGAAAGAUCUCUUGCAGAUUAAAGGAAUCAGUGAUGCUAAAGUUGACAAAAUCGUUGAAGCAGGCAUGUUGUCAUAUGAAUACAAAUUCACUUUGAUCCUUCCUUUUUGGAGUUUAUGCAUUUUCUUAUUUGUGUGUGUUUUACCAAAUUUGAUUUUUAAAUUUACCCCUAUGCCUAAGUCGGCUCUGGCUGUAACAUAUGUCAUUGUUUUAUUAUACUAUCAACAAAAGAGAACCUCUUUGCCAAAA
This is a long non-coding RNA of Brassica napus (rape), 681 nucleotides long. RefSeq lists it as uncharacterized. The record is from RefSeq and is a predicted model, not a curated record. NCBI's taxonomy places the organism in Eukaryota, Viridiplantae, Streptophyta, Magnoliopsida, Brassicales, Brassicaceae. The transcript is spliced from 2 exons.